CUGAGGUCACGUGACCUAGCAUCAGCUAAUGCUUACCACAUUAAAGGGGAAGAUGGUAAGUUAUAAAUGACUGCUGUUUGAUCCAUACCCAUCAGGAACAUAUCUAGAAAACUGUGGGAUAUCUCCAGGGUACAGAAGACCCCACAUCGACUCACUACAUGUGCCUGGAGAAAUUCCGGAGGCCAGGAGCCAGGCAUGUCUUCUCAUCAUGAACCAGCAGAGCUUGGACAGACAUCAUGCAUGUGAUGAACAAGUGACAGAAUGCCCCUUUUGACAAUGCCCCAUUGUCUCCAGUUGGUCCUCACAAGAAAAGUAUCAAAUGCUCUUA
This is a long non-coding RNA of Peromyscus eremicus (cactus mouse), 328 nucleotides long. RefSeq lists it as uncharacterized. The record is from RefSeq and is a predicted model, not a curated record. The transcript has 2 exons. NCBI's taxonomy places the organism in Eukaryota, Metazoa, Chordata, Mammalia, Rodentia, Cricetidae.